GGCGCACGGGUGAGUAACACGUGGAUAAUCUGCCCAAUGAUCCGGGAUAACACUUCGAAAGGGGUGCUAAUACCGGAUAAGCCCACGGGCUCUUCGGAGCUUGCGGGAAAAGGUGGGGACCUUCGGGCCUACUGUCAUUGGAUGAGUCCGCGGCCCAUUAGCUAGUUGGUGGGGUAAUGGCCCACCAAGGCGACGAUGGGUAGCUGGUCUGAGAGGAUGAUCAGCCACACUGGAACUGAGACACGGUCCAGACUCCUACGGGAGGCAGCAGUGGGGAAUUUUGCGCAAUGGGGGAAACCCUGACGCAGCAACGCCGCGUGAGUGAUGAAGGCUUUCGGGUCGUAAAGCUCUGUCAGAGGGGAAGAAACUCACAAAGGAUAAUACCCUUUGUGACUGACGGUACCCUCAAAGGAAGCACCGGCUAACUCCGUGCCAGCAGCCGCGGUAAUACGGAGGGUGCGAGCGUUGUUCGGAAUUAUUGGGCGUAAAGCGCGUGUAGGCGGUCUGUUAAGUCUGAUGUGAAAGCCCGGGGCUCAACCCCGGAAGUGCAUUGGAUACUGGCAGACUUGAGUACGGGAGAGGGAAGUGGAAUUCCGAGUGUAGGAGUGAAAUCCGUAGAUAUUCGGAGGAACACCGGUGG
RNAcentral lists this ribosomal RNA (640 nucleotides) under uncultured delta proteobacterium. Its description in RNAcentral is "bacterial SSU rRNA". It matches the Rfam family "Bacterial small subunit ribosomal RNA", at positions 97 to 715 of the family's 1533-position model. Lineage: Bacteria; Deltaproteobacteria. The record is from RNAcentral.